RNAcentral lists this ribosomal RNA (497 nucleotides) under uncultured bacterium. RNAcentral's name for it is "partial 16S ribosomal RNA". It matches the Rfam family "Bacterial small subunit ribosomal RNA", at positions 28 to 507 of the family's 1533-position model. The record is from RNAcentral.
GAUGAACGCUGGCGGCGUGCCUAAUACAUGCAAGUCGAGCGAACAGACGAGGAGCUUGCUCCUCUGACGUUAGCGGCGGACGGGUGAGUAACACGUGGAUAACCUACCUAUAAGACUGGGAUAACUUCGGGAAACCGGAGCUAAUACCGGAUAAUAUAUUGAACCGCAUGGUUCAAUAGUUAAAGACGGUUUUGCUGUCACUUCUAGAUGGAUCCGCGCCGCAUUAGCUAGUUGGUAAGGUAACGGCUUACCAAGGCAACGAUGCGUAGCCGACCUGAGAGGGUGAUCGGCCACACUGGAACUGAGACACGGUCCAGACUCCUACGGGAGGCAGAAGUAGGGAAUCUUCCGAAAUGGGCGAAAGACUGAAGGAGCAACGCCGCGUGAGUGAUGAAGGUCUUCGGAUCGUAAAACUCUGUUAUUAGGGAAGAACAAAUGUGUAAGUAACUAUGCACGUCUUGACGGUACCUAAUCAGAAAGCCACGGCUAACUACGUG